CUUGGUCAUUUAGAGGAAGUAAAAGUCGUAACAAGGUUUCCGUAGGUGAACCUGCGGAAGGAUCAUUAUUGAAAUAAACCUGAUGGGCUGUUGCUGGUUCUCUAGGGAGCAUGUGCACGCCUUGUCAUCUUUAUAUCUCCACCUGUGCACCUUUUGUAGACCCCUCCAGGUCUAUGUCGCUUCAUUUACCCCCAAUGUAUGUUGAUAGAAUGUCGUGACUAUAUAAAAUCUAUACAACUUUCAGCAACGGAUCUCUUGGCUCUCGCAUCGAUGAAGAACGCAGCGAAAUGCGAUAAGUAAUGUGAAUUGCAGAAUUCAGUGAAUCAUCGAAUCUUUGAACGCACCUUGCGCUCCUUGGUAUUCCGAGGAGCAUGCCUGUUUGAGUGUCAUUAAUAUAUAUCAACCACUCUUCUUGAGUGGCUUGGAUGUGGGGGGUUUGCUGGCCUGUUCAGCUCCCCUGAAAUGCAUUAGCGGAACGACCUGUUCAUUCAUUGGUGUGAUAACUAUCUACGCUAUUGAGUGCGAGGCGGUUCAGCUUCCUAACGGUCCUUGGACAGUUUUUAUCAUUUUAUGUGACCUCAAAUCAGGUAGGACUACCCGCUGAACUUAAGCAUAUCAAUAAGCGGAGGA
This 630-nucleotide ribosomal RNA is filed under the name uncultured Cortinariaceae. RNAcentral's name for it is "eukaryotic LSU rRNA". The stretch from base 236 to 389 matches the Rfam family "5.8S ribosomal RNA". The record is from RNAcentral. Lineage: Eukaryota; Fungi; Basidiomycota; Agaricomycetes; Agaricales; Cortinariaceae.